CUGCCACAAGACUUUGCUAUCUUUGUUAUCUACGCUUUCUUGCUUUUACUGUUUCUCUGCAGGGCUUUAGCUUUUCACUAACUGGCAGAUUUAGGUCACAGACAUUUGUGUGUGUGUGUGUGUGUGUGUGUGUGUUUAUGGUGUGAAGUGUGCCAGGGCUAGCCAACUAAGAGGCCUUUGUCUUGGGAGGCCUGUAGAGUUGUCUUGCCAGGGAAAUGGGUCACUUUCAUCAAUUUAAAGAAAAACAACGAAGAAAUUAUUAGAGCAAAAAACACUGGCUACCGGCUUUGCUGAUUCAGCAACAGAUCUUUGUCCCCCCAUAAAAUCUUGUGUUUUUUCUUCUCAACAGCAGAGUAAACACAGUAAACACAGCCUUUUUACUACCGCAUUCUCAAUAUCUACAUAUAUAACAACAGUAGCACCUUCCGCACAGUGCAAUAAUACAGUGACACACCCUGCAGUUAUCAGUUAUCAGCAGAGAGCAGACGCAGCCUUCAGAACAGACACUCCAACAAAGAACCAGAAGCAACAUAUCUUCCAUUCAUGAGCAGCUUCAACUGCUUGGAUAUCUCAGACAGCCCAACUAAGCUCUCUCUUAGCUGGACCCUCUAUUUUAUACCCAUUCCCCUCCCUCCAGGUCUGAGGGGCCCUCCCAAAAGGUCAAGAAAGCGGAUGGAGGCGGCUUCUGCACCUAAACCAAUCCCUCCUUGAGGAUCCCUGUGUGUGGAAGGGGCUUGAUAUAAGAAUCCCAGCCUCUGGCUUGUGUGGGUAUAUUCCCUUCCACAAGCCUCUCUGGCUCAUAGCAUGCAGGAAGCAGCUGACCUACUCAUCUAACAAAACACAGCUGCUGCUGUUCACUGAGGACUUCUGUGCACCAUGGAUUGAAGACGCUAAAGGUUCCACAGAGACCACCAGCCAGCAGCAUGAGCAGUGUGAACUCCCCCGCCUGUCUGCUGGCACGGAAUCACUUCUACAGGAGUGCCAGCCCCACUGAAAAAGUGAAGCCUGUGUUCAGUUUGACACAAAGUCAAGUGUCCAUCUGGGUGACCACAUCCUCACACCAAGGAAUUCCUGGACAGGAGACCAGUAAAUGGGUAGUGAAUGUGGUUUUGAAGAGUCCAGUACGACCUCCUCCAAACAGCUAAUGCAAGCUGACCUGUAGGAAGUCUAGUAGACCCUCUUCAUAUGGCUGAAAAGACUCCACGCAGUGUUACAGAGAGAGAGAGAGAGACUCUGCUAUUCCUCCUUCAGGACAGUGGUUAAAGGCUUUGGACAUGGAUGAGUUCCAGUUAUAUCCUAAAUGUUAAAUGCACUUCUUCAAUGCAUCAAAGGAAAAAUUGUCCAAACAACUUGCAGCUAAGUUUGUCCACAAUGCAUUCCCACCCUACCUACCUUUCAUUUUCCAUGCUUUCCCCAGAGGCUACCAUGUAACAUACUUGUUUUAAAAGUAUGGCUUAAAGAGACUGAACAGUAGAGGCUCUCAGCUUCUGGCACUUUCACCCAGCUUUCUAAAGUGGACCUGUUG
RNAcentral lists this long non-coding RNA (1525 nucleotides) under Astyanax mexicanus (Mexican tetra). Its description in RNAcentral is "lncRNA (ENSAMXG00005025354.1)". The record is from RNAcentral. Lineage: Eukaryota; Metazoa; Chordata; Actinopteri; Characiformes; Acestrorhamphidae.